RNAcentral lists this ribosomal RNA (460 nucleotides) under uncultured bacterium. RNAcentral describes it as "partial 16S ribosomal RNA". It matches the Rfam family "Bacterial small subunit ribosomal RNA", at positions 338 to 795 of the family's 1533-position model. The record is from RNAcentral.
CCUACGGGUGGCAGCAGUGAGGAAUAUUGGUCAAUGGACGAGAGUCUGAACCAGCCAAGUAGCGUGAAGGAUGACUGCCCUAUGGGUUGUAAACUUCUUUUAUAUGGGAAUAAAACGUUCCACGUGUGGGAUUUUGUAUGUACCAUAUGAAUAAGGAUCGGCUAACUCCGUGCCAGCAGCCGCGGUAAUACGGAGGAUCCGAGCGUUAUCCGGAUUUAUUGGGUUUAAAGGGAGCGUAGGUGGAUUGUUAAGUCAGUUGUGAAAGUUUGCGGCUCAACCGUAAAAUUGCAGUUGAAACUGGCAGUCUUGAGUACAGUAGAGGUGGGCGGAAUUCGUGGUGUAGCGGUGAAAUGCUUAGAUAUCACGAAGAACUCCGAUUGCGAAGGCAGUUCACUGGCCUGCAACUGACACUGAGGCUCGAAAGUGUGGGUAUCAAACAGGAUUAGAUACCCCUGUAGUC